This 394-nucleotide ribosomal RNA is filed under the name Badhamia albescens. RNAcentral describes it as "SSU rRNA". It matches the Rfam family "Eukaryotic small subunit ribosomal RNA", at positions 76 to 405 of the family's 1831-position model. Lineage: Eukaryota; Evosea; Eumycetozoa; Physariida; Physaraceae. The record is from RNAcentral.
UCUCUCUGAAUCUGCGAACGGCUCCGCAUACCAGUUGUAAACCAUAGCGAGCAAACCGUGGCGGUGUCGCAAGGCGUCGUCGCGGUUAAUAAGGAUAACCCUGGUAAUUCUGAGGCUAAUACAAGAACGUACAACCCACCCGACCCGUAAGGGAAGGGGGGGGAAUGUGUGACCAGGCACGCAAAUUCGAAACUGGGAGUGGCCACACGUUCAGACCGUCAUAUCAAACAGUCGUCUGCUUCGAAAGUCCUUGUGACGAGUAACGGCGGGCUUCUGGGCGGCUCUCGCUGUGUGCUUCUGACCUAUCAACUAGAUGGCAGCGUAACGGACAUGCUAUGGUGACAACGGGUACAGAGGAUAAGGGUUCGAUCCUGGAGAGUGGGCCUGAGAGAUU